GAUCAUGGCUCAGGAUGAACGCUGGCGGCGUGCCUAAUACAUGCAAGUCGAGCGAAUGGAUUAAGAGCUUGCUCUUAUGAAGUUAGCGGCGGACGGGUGAGUAACACGUGCGAAAUUGAAAGGCGGCUUCGGCUGUCACUUAUGGAUGGACCCGCGUCGCAUUAGCUAGUUGGUGAGGUAACGGCUCACCAAGGCGACGAUGCGUAGCCGACCUGAGAGGGUGAUCGGCCACACUGGGACUGAGACACGGCCCAGACUCCUACGGGAGGCAGCAGUAGGGAAUCUUCCGCAAUGGACGAAAGUCUGACGGAGCAACGCCGCGUGAGUGAUGAAGGCUUUCGGGUCGUAAAACUCUGUUGUUAGGGAAGAACAAGUGCUAGUUGAAUAAGCUGGCACCUUGACGGUACCUAACCAGAAAGCCACGGCUAACUACGUGCCAGCAGCCGCGGUAAUACGUAGGUGGCAAGCGUUAUCCGGAAUUAUUGGGCGUAAAGCGCGCGCAGGUGGUUUCUUAAGUCUGAUGUGAAAGCCCACGGCUCAACCGUGGAGGGUCAUUGGAAACUGGGAGACUUGAGUGCAGAAGAGGAAAGUGGAAUUCCAUGUGUAGCGGUGAAAUGCGUAGAGAUAUGGAGGAACACCAGUGGCGAAGGCGACUUUCUGGUCUGUAACUGACACUGAGGCGCGAAAGCGUGGGGAGCAAACAGGAUUAGACACCAGUGGCGAAGGCGACUUUCUGGUCUGUAACUGACACUGAGGCGCGAAAGCGUGGGGGUAGUCCACGCCGUAAACGAUGAGUGCUAAGUGUUAGAGGGUUUCCGCCCUUUAGUGCUGAAGUUAACGCAUUAAGCACUCCGCCUGGGGAGUACGGCCGCAAGGCUGAAAC
RNAcentral lists this ribosomal RNA (883 nucleotides) under Bacillus cereus. Its description in RNAcentral is "bacterial SSU rRNA". It matches the Rfam family "Bacterial small subunit ribosomal RNA", at positions 15 to 900 of the family's 1533-position model. The record is from RNAcentral. Lineage: Bacteria; Bacillati; Bacillota; Bacilli; Caryophanales; Bacillaceae.